This 317-nucleotide ribosomal RNA is filed under the name uncultured bacterium. Its description in RNAcentral is "bacterial SSU rRNA". It matches the Rfam family "Bacterial small subunit ribosomal RNA", at positions 8 to 307 of the family's 1533-position model. The record is from RNAcentral.
AGAGUUUGAUCAUGGCUCAGGAUGAACGCUGGCGGCGUGCUUAACACAUGCAAGUCGAGCGAAGCGAUUUAGCGGAAGUUUUCGGAUGGAAGUUAGAUUGACUGAGCGGCGGACGGGUGAGUAACGCGUGGGUAACCUGCCUCAUACAGGGGGAUAACAGUUAGAAAUGACUGCUAAUACCGCAUAAGCGCACGGGGACGCAUGUUCUUGUGUGAAAAGCCGAGACGGUAUGAGAUGGACCCGCGUCUGAUUAGCUAGUUGGUGAGGUAACGGCCCACCAAGGCGACGAUCAGUAGCCGACCUGAGAGGGUGACCGG